RNAcentral lists this ribosomal RNA (253 nucleotides) under uncultured bacterium. Its description in RNAcentral is "partial 16S ribosomal RNA". It matches the Rfam family "Bacterial small subunit ribosomal RNA", at positions 524 to 776 of the family's 1533-position model. The record is from RNAcentral.
UACAGAGGUCCCAAGCGUUGUUCGGAUUCAUUGGGCGUAAAGGGUGCGUAGGCGGCGCGGUAAGUCGGGUGUGAAAUCUCGGAGCUCAACUCCGAAACUGCAUUCGAUACUGCCGUGCUUGAGGACUGGAGAGGAGACUGGAAUUUACGGUGUAGCGGUGAAAUGCGUAGAUAUCGUAAGGAAGACCAGUGGCGAAGGCGGGUCUCUGGACAGUUCCUGACGCUGAGGCACGAAGGCCAGGGGAGCAAACGGG